AGGUACCGCUCUUCGCACUGCCCGCUGGUCACUCGGUACAAGUGACCAGCGGGUGGGU
RNAcentral lists this non-coding RNA (58 nucleotides) under unclassified sequences. The record is from RNAcentral.